This 32-nucleotide transfer RNA is filed under the name Cyrtodactylus ngoiensis (Ngoi bent-toed gecko). RNAcentral describes it as "partial tRNA-Tyr". Lineage: Eukaryota; Metazoa; Chordata; Lepidosauria; Squamata; Gekkonidae. The record is from RNAcentral.
UAGCCUUGCUUACGGGGCUGCGCCCCCCCCAA